Rosa rugosa (rugosa rose) is the source of this 631-nucleotide long non-coding RNA. RefSeq lists it as uncharacterized. The transcript is spliced from 4 exons. NCBI's taxonomy places the organism in Eukaryota, Viridiplantae, Streptophyta, Magnoliopsida, Rosales, Rosaceae. The record is from RefSeq and is a predicted model, not a curated record.
CGCAGUCUCGCCUCUCUCUCUCUCUGGAAAGAGCUUUCUUCUCUAAUCGCCUCUCUUCUCUAGUCGCCUCUCUUCUCUUAUCUGUCCAUUUCUCUUCAUCAAGAAGGACCAGAUCGGGUUGAUGUAUCAAUCCUCUUCUCUUAUGGUGCCAUGGUGGUUGAAGUCUGAGCGCGACCUCUGUCACUGUAAGGAGGUUCAGAUCUGAAAAAUUUAUCUGAGACUUUGGGUAUGAUUAUGCAUGAAGACUCACGCUUGAUCAGGAUCUCAGACUUUAGGACUCACGCUUGAUCAGGAUCUCAGACGGGAUAGUUUCACUGCUUGAGUCUGAAAUUGAUAUUAAUCUCAGGAACUAUCAAAACCAAAGCAAAGCUCUGUCCCAAGCUCUUAACCAAUUCUCAGUCUCCAUUUGAAGCUUCUUUUUCCCAUGAAAAACAGUAGAAAAAGGGGGUUUAUUUACUGGGAAACUCAGUCAAAUGGCCCCUGAUGUGGAAGAGGGAUUUGCUCUAUUUAUAUAUUUUGUGGAUGGUUAAUGGUCUGCUCUUAUAUUUUUACAUAUAUUCUUUUUAUAUUGAUAAGGCUCCAAUGGCCUUGAUUCUUCCAGAAUAGUUCGUUGUAAACAGAUGGAGUUGAU